Molecule: ribosomal RNA, 253 nt
Filed under: uncultured bacterium
Lineage: Bacteria
Description: partial 16S ribosomal RNA
Rfam family: Bacterial small subunit ribosomal RNA
Source: RNAcentral
GGCGGAGGAUGCAAGUGUUAUCCGGAAUCACUGGGCGUAAAGCGUCUGUAGGUGGUUUAAUAAGUCAACUGUUAAAUCUUGAAGCUCAACUUCGAAAUCGGAGUCGAAACUAUUAGACUAGAGUAUAGUAGGGGUAAAGGGAAUUUCCAGUGGAGCGGUGAAAUGCGUAGAGAUUGGAAAGAACACCGAUGGCGAAGGCACUUUACUGGGCUAUUGCUGACACUCAGAGACGAAAGCUAGGGUAGCAAAUGGG